Molecule: non-coding RNA, 45 nt
Filed under: Schistosoma haematobium
Lineage: Eukaryota; Metazoa; Platyhelminthes; Trematoda; Strigeidida; Schistosomatidae
Source: RNAcentral
AUACAGUUGAUGAAUCCCAAAUAGAACGAAACGCAUGUCCUGAAU